This 437-nucleotide ribosomal RNA is filed under the name uncultured bacterium. RNAcentral's name for it is "bacterial SSU rRNA". It matches the Rfam family "Bacterial small subunit ribosomal RNA", at positions 957 to 1391 of the family's 1533-position model. The record is from RNAcentral.
GAACGCGAAAAACCUUACCUGGCCUUGACAUGUACCGAAUUUACCAGAGAUGGUUUAGUGCUCGAAAGAGCAACGGUAACACCAGGUGCUGCAUGCUUGUCGUCAGCUCGUGUCGUGAGAUGUUGGGUUAAGUCCCGCAACGAGCGCAACCCUUGCCAAUAAUUGCCAUCAUUUAGUUGGGCACUUUAUUGGGACUGCCGAUGACAAAUCGGAGGAAGGUGGGGAUGACGUCAAGUCCUCAUGGCCCUUAUGGCCAGGGCUUCACACGUAAUACAAUGGUCGGUACAGAGGGUCGCCAACCCGCGAGGGGGAGCUAACCCCAGAAAGCCGAUCGUAGUCCGGAUUGCAGGCUGCAACUCGCCUGCAUGAAGUCGGAAUCGCUAGUAAUCGCGGAUCAGCAUGUCGCGGUGAAUACGUUCCCGGGUCUUGUACACACC